UUUGGUAAUAAUAUAAAGUCUAACCUGCCCAUUGAGGAAUUAAAAGGCCGCGGUAUUUUGACCGUGCUAAGGUAGCAUAAUCAUUAGUUUUUUAAUUAAAAGCUGGAAUGAAAGGUUGAAUGAGGGAUUAACUGUCUCAAAAAAAAUAAAUUUGAAUUUAAUUUUUAAGUUAAAAAGCUUAAAUUUCUUUAAAAGACGAGAAGACCCUAUAGAGUUUAAUAAAAAAUUUUAAUUUUAUUUUUAGUAUUAAAAUUUAAAUUAAAAUUUUUUAUUUGGUUGGGGUGAUUUAAAAAUUUAAUAAACUUUUUGAAAUUUAAACAUUGAUUUAUGAAAUUUUGAUCCAAAAUUUUUGAUUAAUAGAAUAAAUUACCUUAGGGAUAACAGCGUAAUUUUUUUUGAAAGUUCAUAUUUAAAAAAAAGAUUGCGACCUCGAUGUUGGAUUAAAAUUUAUUUUUGGUGUAGAAGCUAAAAUAUUAAGUCUGUUCGACUUUUAAAAUUUUACAUGAUCUGAGUUUAAACCGGUUUAAGCCAGGUUGGUUUCUAUCUUUAAAUAGUUAAUUUUUUUUAGUACGAAAGGACCAAGAAUUUUUUAUAAUAGAAAUUAUUUGAAUAAAUUAUUAUUUUGGCAGAAAAGUGUAAUUGAUUUAGAAUCAUUAAAUGUAAUUGUUUACAAAUAAUAAUUUGGGAUUUUUCGUUAAUUAUUUUUAGUAGUGUAAUUUUGUUGGUUUGUGUAUUAAUUGGUGUAGCUUUUGUUACUUUACUGGAACGUAAAGUUUU
Molecule: ribosomal RNA, 777 nt
Filed under: Crotchia sp. TJH-2004
Lineage: Eukaryota; Metazoa; Arthropoda; Insecta; Coleoptera; Erotylidae
Description: partial 16S ribosomal RNA
Rfam family: Bacterial large subunit ribosomal RNA (bases 1-571)
Source: RNAcentral